This 314-nucleotide ribosomal RNA is filed under the name uncultured bacterium. RNAcentral describes it as "partial 16S ribosomal RNA". It matches the Rfam family "Bacterial small subunit ribosomal RNA", at positions 495 to 807 of the family's 1533-position model. The record is from RNAcentral.
GUAUAAGAGACAGCAGUAGCCACGGUAAUACAGAGGGUGCGAGCGUUAAUCGGAUUUACUGGGCGUAAAGCGUGCGUAGGCGGCUUCUUAAGUCGGAUGUGAAAUCCCUGAGCUUAACUUAGGAAUUGCAUUCGAUACUGGGAAGCUAGAGUAUGGGAGAGGAUGGUAGAAUUCCAGGUGUAGCGGUGAAAUGCGUAGAGAUCUGGAGGAAUACCGAUGGCGAAGGCAGCCAUCUGGCCUAAUACUGACGCUGAGGUACGAAAGCAUGGGGAGCAAACAGGAUUAGAUACCCCGGUAGUCCCUGUCUCUUAUAC